Molecule: ribosomal RNA, 443 nt
Filed under: uncultured bacterium
Lineage: Bacteria
Description: partial 16S ribosomal RNA
Rfam family: Bacterial small subunit ribosomal RNA
Source: RNAcentral
CCUACGGGAGGCAGCAGUGGGGGAUAUUGGACAAUGGGGGAAACCCUGAUCCAGCGACGCCGCGUGAGUGAAGAAGUAUUUCGGUAUGUAAAGCUCUGUUAGCAGGGAAGAAAGAAAUGACGGUACUUGACCAAGAAGCCCCGGCUAACUACGUGCCAGCAGCCGCGGUAAUACGUAGGGGGCAAGCGUUAUCCGGAAUUACUGGGUGUAAAGGGAGCGUAGACGGUGAGGCAAGUCUGGGGUGAAAGGCGGGGGCCCAACCCCCGGACUGCUUUGGAAACUGUGUGACUUGAGUGGAGGAGAGGUAAGCGGAAUUCCUGGUGUAGCGGUGAAAUGCGUAGAUAUUAGGAGGAACACCAGUGGCGAAGGCGGCUUACUGGACUGUAACUGACGUUGAGGCUCGAAAGCGUGGGGAGCAAACAGGAUUAGAUACCCGAGUAGUC